RNAcentral lists this ribosomal RNA (253 nucleotides) under uncultured bacterium. RNAcentral describes it as "partial 16S ribosomal RNA". It matches the Rfam family "Bacterial small subunit ribosomal RNA", at positions 524 to 776 of the family's 1533-position model. The record is from RNAcentral.
UACGUAGGUGGCAAGCGUUGUCCGGAUUUACUGGGCGUAAAGGGCGUGCAGGCGGUCUGUUUAGUCUAGGGUGAAAGCUCCCGGCUCAACUGGGAGAGGUCCUUGGAUACUGGCAGACUUGAGGGAGGCAGAGGAAAGUGGAAUUCCCGGUGUAGUGGUGAUAUGCGUAGAUAUCGGGAGGAACACCAGUGGCGAAGGCGGCUUGCCAGAACGCGCUCGACGGUGGGGGAUGAAAGCUGGGGGAGCAAACCGG